GGCUGCGCCAGGAGUCAGCCGACGGAGUGAGCCCGGGAUGUGGUUCGGGGGCCAGGCGGGAGAGGGAAGAGCCGCGGCCGCGGCGGCCGUUGCCAUCGCUCUGCUGUGGCUGGUGGUCCUGGUGGUGAGGCAGCUGCUGAAGCAGAGGCGGCCAGUUGGUUUCCCUCCUGGCCCAGUGAGGCUGCCGCUCAUUGGUAAUAUCCACUCCUUGGCGUCGGAGCAGCCGCAUAUUUACAUGAAGAGGCAGAGCGAACUUCAAGGACAGAUCUUUAGUCUUGAUCUUGGAGGUAUAUCAGCUAUCGUACUGAAUGGCUAUGAUGCAGUGAAAGAAUGUCUUGUUCAGCAAAGUGAUGUUUUUGCGGACAGGCCACCUCUUCCUUUGUUCAAGAAGCUCACAAAAAUGGGAGGUUUAUUAAACUCCAGAUAUGGCAGAGGCUGGACAGAGCAUCGCAAAUUAGCUGUAACCAGUUUUCGUAACUUUGGAUAUGGUCAAAAAUCUUUUGAAUGCAAAAUAUCAGAAGAAUCAAUUGUUUUUCUUGAAGCAAUUGAUACCUAUAAAGGCAAGCCUUUUGAUCUGAAACACUUGAUUACAAGUGCAGUUUCAAAUAUUACCAAUUUAAUUAUUUUUGGAGAAAGAUUUACAUAUGAAGACACUGAAUUUCAACAUAUGAUAGAAAUAUUUAGUGAAAACAUUGAAUUGGCUGCUAGUGCUACAGCUUUUUUAUAUAAUGCUUUUCCAUGGAUUGGUGCCUUCCCUUUUGGAAAACACCAACAGCUCUUUAAAAAUGCAGCUGAAGUCUAUGCAUUUCUUCUUCAUCUUAUUCAGCGUGCUUCACAGAACAGGAAACCUCAGUCACCUCGACAUUUUAUAGAUGCCUAUUUAGAUGAGAUUGAUAAAAAUAAAAAUGAUCUAGAGUCUACAUUUUCAACAGAAAACUUAAUUUUCUCUGUUGGAGAAAUUAUGAUUGCUGGAACAGAAACAACAACCAAUGUUCUAAGAUGGGCAGUUUUAUUCAUGGCUCUUUAUCCUAAUAUUCAAGGGCAAGUGCAUAAAGAAAUUGAUUUAGUUGUGGGGCCAAACAGAACUCCCUGCCUAGAAGAAAAGUGCAAAAUGCCAUACACAGAGGCAGUCAUCCAUGAAAUUUUAAGAUUCUGUAAUGUAGCUCCACUAGGUAUUUUCCAUGCAACUUCUAAAGACACAGUUGUGCGUGGUUAUUCUAUCCCUGAAGGAACUACAGUAAUUACUAAUCUCUAUUCUGUACACUUUGAUGAAAAGUACUGGAUUAACCCAGAAGUUUUUUGGCCUGAGAGGUUUUUGGACACUUCGGGACAGUUUGUCAAGAAGGAAGCAUUUGUUCCUUUUUCAUUAGGAAAACGACACUGUUUAGGAGAACAGCUGGCCAGAAUGGAAAUGUUUUUAUUUUUUACUUCAUUGCUUCAGCGAUUCCAUUUGCAUUUUCCUUGUUCUUUGAUUCCAAACCUUAAGCCAAAAUUAGGCAUGACAUUGCAACCUCAUCCAUACCUUAUCUGUGCGGAGAGGCGAUGUUGAAUGCAAAACUUCUGGAAUAAUGGCUAAUUAUGCAUAGAUUCAAACAACCUGAUAACAGCAAAGAGUCAGAUGUGAAAAUCUUUUUUUUUUAAGUACUAGAUACAUCCUACCAGCUCGCCUGGACCCUGUAUUGUGAGCCAAGGUCACUGAAGAAGAUCUUUGUUUUGGUAUCGUCAAUAGAUUUGUGUUGAAAGGCCCAUUUGGAUAGGAUCCUUGACUAAAUGUAAGACAGGAAAGAAAAAAAAUGUUCAUCUUAUGUUAUUCUAAUAAACAAAACAUAAUACAGAUAUGAUCAUUUUAAUCUUAUGAAUAAAAGAUAAGCAUAAUGAAACAGUAACUGCUAACAUGUAUCCUUUUCACAAAAUGUCUGGGCACACAUACAUAUUGAAUAAAAAGAAAAAUUACUGAUAAGCAAAAGAAAAAUUGCAAAUAAAAUAACGUAAUUUCAUA
This is an RNA transcript of Sphaerodactylus townsendi, 1999 nucleotides long. It is a transcript of the gene named vitamin D 25-hydroxylase, with no coding region annotated. The transcript is spliced from 6 exons. The record is from RefSeq and is a predicted model, not a curated record. Lineage: Eukaryota; Metazoa; Chordata; Lepidosauria; Squamata; Sphaerodactylidae.